This 572-nucleotide long non-coding RNA is filed under the name Mytilus galloprovincialis (Mediterranean mussel). The record is from RNAcentral. Lineage: Eukaryota; Metazoa; Mollusca; Bivalvia; Mytilida; Mytilidae.
UGGAUGGACAGCAUUAAUGUUGGCAGCCAGGGAAGGACAUGUGGAAGUGUCUCGACUACUUCUGGAGAACAGAUGUAACAAAGAUAUCACAGAUGUAUGUUAUCUACUAAAUCUGAUCACAUUACUUUUAAUCAACACAAAAUCAUGUUGUUAAUUAGACAGGUUUAAUGAACAACUAAUAUAUUUGUAAUAAUCAUAUAAAGUGGGGUCUCAUUUUACUCGUAGUAUUGUUCUGAAUCAGAAAAUAUAACUUUUUUCAUUUUUCUUUGAAAAAUUUACUUUUAUAAAAUUUAUGAUUUUACUGAAUCUACACUAAAUCCUGUUGUUAAUCAGACAGUUUUAAUUAAUGUGACUAUUUAUUUUUGUUUAUAUUUAUUACACAACAUUGUCCAGUUUAUCAGACAAGUUUUGAUGUCAGUUGUAUUAUUCCAGGUUAGUGGAUGGACAGCAUUAAUGUGGGCAGCCAGGGAGGACAUGUGGAAGUGUCUCGACUACUUCUGGAGAACAGAUGUAACAAAGAUAUCACAGAUGUAUGUUAUCUACUAAAUCUGAUCACAUUACUUUUAAUCAAC